AGUGAACGCUGGCGGUAGGCCUAACACAUGCAAGUCGAACGGCAGCACAGAGGAGCUUGCUCCUUGGGUGGCGAGUGGCGGACGGGUGAGGAAUACAUCGGAAUCUACUCUGUCGUGGGGGAUAACGUAGGGAAACUUACGCUAAUACCGCAUACGACCUACGGGUGAAAGCAGGGGAUCUUCGGACCUUGCGCGAUUGAAUGAGCCGAUGUCGGAUUAGCUAGUUGGCGGGGUAAAGGCCCACCAAGGCGACGAUCCGUAGCUGGUCUGAGAGGAUGAUCAGCCAAACUGGAACUGAGACACGGUCCAGACUCCUACGGGAGGCAGCAGUGGGGAAUAUUGGACAAUGGGCGCAAGCCUGAUCCAGCCAUACCGCGUGGGUGAAGAAGGCCUUCGGGUUGUAAAGCCCUUUUGUUGGGAAAGAAAUCCAGCUGGUUAAUACCCGGUUGGGAUGACGGUACCCAAAGAAUAAGCACCGGCUGACUUCGUGCCAGCCGCCGCCGUAA
Molecule: ribosomal RNA, 506 nt
Filed under: uncultured bacterium
Lineage: Bacteria
Description: partial 16S ribosomal RNA
Rfam family: Bacterial small subunit ribosomal RNA
Source: RNAcentral